RNAcentral lists this ribosomal RNA (599 nucleotides) under Campylobacter sp. S1W 1. RNAcentral's name for it is "bacterial SSU rRNA". It matches the Rfam family "Bacterial small subunit ribosomal RNA", at positions 55 to 623 of the family's 1533-position model. The record is from RNAcentral. Lineage: Bacteria; Pseudomonadati; Campylobacterota; Epsilonproteobacteria; Campylobacterales; Campylobacteraceae.
AUGCAGUCGAACGAUGAAGCUUCUAGCUUGCUAGAAGUGGAUUAGUGGCGCACGGGUGAGUAAGGUAUAGUUAAUCUGCCCUACACAAGAGGACAACAGUUGGAAACGACUGCUAAUACUCUAUACUCCUGCUUAACACAAGUUGAGUAGGGAAAGUUUUUCGGUGUAGGAUGAGACUAUAUAGUAUCAGCUAGUUGGUAAGGUAAUGGCUUACCAAGGCUAUGACGCUUAACUGGUCUGAGAGGAUGAUCAGUCACACUGGAAACUGAGACACGGUCCCAGACUCCCUACGGGGAGGCAGCAGUAGGGGAAUAUUGGCGCCAUGGGGGGAAAACCCUGGACGCAGCCAACGCCCGCGGUGGGAGGGAUGGACACUUUUUCGGGAGCGUAAAACUCCCUUUUCUUUAGGGGAAGAUUUCUGACGGGUACCCUAAGGGAAUAAAGCACCCGGGCUAAACUCCGGUGCCAGCAGCCGGCGGGUAAAUACGGGAGGGGUGGCAAAGCGUUUACUCGGAAAUCACUGGGGCGUUAAGGGGCGGCGUAGGGCGGGAUUAAUCAAGUCUCUUUGUGAAAUCUAAUGGGCUUUAACCCAUUUAAAA